This 306-nucleotide ribosomal RNA is filed under the name uncultured bacterium. RNAcentral's name for it is "partial 16S ribosomal RNA". It matches the Rfam family "Bacterial small subunit ribosomal RNA", at positions 507 to 809 of the family's 1533-position model. The record is from RNAcentral.
GACAGCAGUAGCCGCGGGAAUACAGUGGGUGCGAGCGUUAAUCGGAUUUACUGGGCGUAAAGCGUGCGUAGGCGGCUUCUUAAGUCGGAUGUGAAAUCCCUGAGCUUAACUUAGGAAUUGCAUUCGAUACUGGGAAGCUAGAGUAUGGGAGAGGAUGGUAGAAUUCCAGGUGUAGCGGUGAAAUGCGUAGAGAUCUGGAGGAAUACCGAUGGCGAAGGCAGCCAUCUGGCCUAAUACUGACGCUGAGGUACGAAAGCAUGGGGAGCAAACAGGAUUAGAUACCCCAGUAGUCCCUGUCUCUUAUAA